Molecule: long non-coding RNA, 2888 nt
Organism: Cavia porcellus (domestic guinea pig)
Lineage: Eukaryota; Metazoa; Chordata; Mammalia; Rodentia; Caviidae
Exons: 3
Source: RefSeq, a predicted model, not a curated record
AAAACACUGCAGACAUGCUACUGUAAGAAAGGCUGCGGAGAGUUUUGGGUUCUAAUUGUAAGUAAUUUCACAAUUGAUCAGUAAAGAAAUAAAGCAGUAAGAAAGAAACCAAAGAAGUAACCAAGAAACCAAAAGCAAACACAUGAACUGUUUUGUAAACAUCUUUAUCAUCUGUGUCAGGACUGUGCCGCCCUGGGGUGUGGCCUGUGGAUGAAGCCCACACCCUCCCCGGUCUCCCUGACCCUGUGUUCUGCUAACCCCCUGCAAGGCCCGUGCCUCUGUUGUGAUGUCUGAUUGCUGUGGGAAUUAGAGGUCAUAGAUUCCUCUGGAGUAUGGACCGUGCCUGUCUUAGGCACCAGAUUGUCAAUGUCAGACACAAUUUCCAGGCAAAAUUCAGACACUGGAUAAAUAUUUAUUAAAUGAAUGGAUUAAUGAACGCAUAAAUUGAAGAGAGAUUAGUACCAGUGGGGAAAGCACAUUCGCACAGGGAAAAUUUCGCACAUAAAGCAAUCUGCUAAAGAUAUUUUUAUGAGGAUAAUAUAGUUAUGCUGGCAAUUUACAUUGAACCAUCGGUUUUUGAGGUUGCUCUAAUGAUGUUUCUCUCUGGCCUUCAACAGCACUUACUGGGAGUGAGAAAACGUGACUCCUAGCUGUGGCUUUUGUGCCCUGUUAAAUUAAAUGUAAGCAUCAUCACUGAUUUUCAUCUUUCCUCUGUUAAUGUCUAAGCAACGUGCUGUUCAGACCAUCAAUGGCUCCGUGAGAGUGUACUGUGUUAGCACAAAACAACAAAUAAAACUCCAAAGCCCGUGCAGCGGAGUUAGGACAAGGUGGCUGAUGCGGUGCUGUGGCAAAGACCCUGGGGACAUUUGCAAAUGUGAGCCUCAGUGCGGUCGCCAGGCCCUGGCGGAGGAACGGGCUCCGGAUUCCUUCCCAGAGCGCCGCUCUCGCCUUCCCUGCAGUACAGAGAUCAAUUAAUCUUUUCAUGCCCAAGUUUAUGCCUCUGUAAACUGAAGAAAGCUUUGCUACCUAUACCUAGAAGAAUGUUCUGAUAAAUAAUGAAGUCAUGUCUGAAAAGCACUGUAUAAAAACAAAGUGUAAUUAUGACUUUUUCCCUCUGGUUGGAAUCGGCUUGCUUCCCACAGAUUCUAACUCCUCUGGAGCAGCUGCGGUCCAGCCCACACUUUCUCCCCCCCACUUUGGAGUUACUCAAGCAGCUGGUAACAACACUAACGCACAAGACACGUACCACUCCAUAUCCAUGGGCUACUUCUCACAAAAAGAACCUUCAAGUACUGAGCAGGUCGUUUCUGUUAUAAAAAGACAUGAGCGGACCCUACUUCAUCGGCAGUAUUUUGUAAGCUAAGCACUUUCUAUCGUGUUCAAAAAUCAGCUAUUGAGGAAGAACAAAAAUAUGAUAGCAUUUUUUUCUGAGCUGAUAAAACAGAAACAAAAAAACAACAGCAGAAAACCUUUGCACUUUCAAGCAAAAGAAAUUUCAUCCUAGGGCACUGGUUUUGGGGAGUCCUUGGAUGUAAGCGGAGCAAGUCCUAAUGAGAUAACAGGUUGCGUAAAGCAAGACCGCUGACCUUCCCGCACUGCUAUUUGUGAGGUCUUGUUCCAGUUAUAAAAUGCAGUCAGCUCAGAGUAAGUGUAUUUCCCCAGCAGUAGGCAGUUAUCUGUCACCUCUGUGUAAUCUCCAUUCUCUUUAAAGUUUGAGACUUGGGGAGGGGGGUGUCCCUAUGACUUCUGCACUUCCCAAGCUCUCUCUUCUUCCCAAGCAAUGGAGCAGCGCAGCCAUUUCUGGGGUGUUACUAAGAUGCAAUCAGGGGUCAUUCAGGGCUUGGGGGCACAGGGCAUCUUCCUGGUCCCCAAAGCCUCCAGCCAUGUCUGUUUGGGGGGAAGGAAGGGCUGAGCAUGUGUCCUGCAUUCUCCUCUAUGAUUCAAGCUUGGCAUGGCAUGAGCUCCCCUGAUCUACCAGGCCCACCUCACCCCAGGACACAUGUCAUCCACCCCUCAGUGCUCACACAAGGCCCUGCCAGCCAAAGGAGUGGGGUGGGGUGGCAGGGUUUCCCACUGCUCCAGCCAUCAAAACCUCAGAGGAGCAGGUCCUCGUCUCCAUUCUCCAUAGAAUUGUGAGUUAAGCCCCUGGAGCUCCCCCCCCCCCCCCGCAUGGUGCUGUCUUCAGUCAGUAUUGAGAUAAUACACCUUCAUGGUUUUAAUCAAAUACAUAAAAACACCUUAAAAUAGUUUCGAUUUUCUGAGAGCUUCUACUUUAAAGACAAUGGAAUUCCACAACUGAGAAGGUAGCUGAGGAGUCCUGUGGUCUACCCUGAACCUGUGCUGGUGGCCCUAAGAAUCAGAGCUGAGAUGCUGUACUGCCCCCACAGAACCAGGAGCCACACCGGGAGGAUGCUCAGAUCAGGGGCUGAAGGGAGGGACCGAGUGCUGCAGGAGUUUCCAACCAGCCUUUCCCCACUCCUCCUGGUCUCGGCCAUUUUACCUUCGCAGAUACUUAGUCUGCUACGAAGAAGGCACAGACUCUGCAAGACCAAUAGCUGCAGCUGCUGAAACUUUUGCUUUCUCCUUCCUCGGAGACAGAAAAAAAUGGGCCUACCUAAAGAUUGGUUUCCUGGCCCUGGGAGGUCUGCAAGCUUCACCGCUGGCCUGCAGAGUCUGUGAACUCUUGUUAAGCAAAUAAACUGAAAGCUCCAAGCUGUUUGACCUCAAGGAAUGAAACAUAAAAAAGAAGUAGUGUUAGAAGGAAAGAAAAUGUGCCUGGAGAUGAGAGCCACGGCCCUGCUCAGGCCACCUGAGCGUGGCAGAAGUGGACACCGAGCUUUAGGAUGCCAGGGAGGUCUGGGAAAUCGUCCUGCCUUUUAAGACCUUGA